RNAcentral lists this long non-coding RNA (7189 nucleotides) under Ananas comosus (pineapple). RNAcentral's name for it is "long non-coding RNA (ACOM_LNC003286)". Lineage: Eukaryota; Viridiplantae; Streptophyta; Magnoliopsida; Poales; Bromeliaceae. The record is from RNAcentral.
UCGGGCACGCCAACAGACCGCCGAACGGACAGGGUUUCCCCUACACGCGGACAGAGUCUCCCCUGUACAUUCAAGGCGUCGCAAUCAAUACAAUUACAAGAGGUUCCAAACAGGAACAAUUUUCAACAACGAUUGCAUAAGGAAGGUAUCAAACAACAUAACACAUCCUAUAUUAUUACAAUCAUUCAUCUCAUCAUUUUACAUCGCAUUUUUCAUUACAUUGAUUCUCAACUUCCAAAUAUACAAUCGAUUUCUUUUCUUUUCUUUUCUUAUACCCCUAAGGAGCCGACUCAGGGUGCUGCUAUCUGGUCUCUGUGGUAGGGCGCUAACUACGGAGCUACGCCCUUUCCUCGCGCCGCCGCGCCGCUCGCGUGUGAACCUGUACCCCCAAAAACAACAACACGGGGGUGAGACUAUUGUCCAUAGUCGUCAGUGGGUACAGCCACCCAAGGGAAAAGCUCAACCCACCAGGUCCAAAGGAGGCACUGCAACAUGUUAGUCCAACAGAUAUAUACAUAUAACAUCAUGCAAUACAUGUUCAUGCCUCACAAAUAUGCAAAUUAUGCAACUCUUAGUCAUUCUUUACCAUUAGCCUUUCUUUAGAAUUUGCUAUUCUUUAUCAUUAGCCAUUCUUUACUCUUUAUUCUUUAUUCUUUAUUCUUUAUUCUUUAUUCUUUAUUCUUUAUUCUUUAUUCUUUAUUCUUUAUUCUUUAUUCUUUAUUCUUUAUUCUUUAUUCUUUAUUCUUUAUUCUUUAUUCUUUAUUCUUUAUUCUUUAUUCUUUAUUCUUUAUUCUUUAUUCUUUAUUCUUUAUUCUUUAUUCUUUAUUCUUUAUUCUUUAUUCUUUAUUCUUUAUUCUUUAUUCUUUAUUCUUUAUUCUUUAUUCUUUAUUCUUUAUUCUUUAUUCUUUAUUCUUUAUUCUUUAUUCUUUAUUCUUUAUUCUUUAUUCUUUAUUCUUUAUUCUUUAUUCUUUAUUCUUUAUUCUUUAUUCUUUAUUCUUUAUUCUUUAUUCUUUAUUCUUUAUUCUUUAUUCUUUAUUCUUUAUUCUUUAUUCUUUAUUCUUUAUUCUUUAUUCUUUAUUCUUUAUUCUUUAUUCUUUAUUCUUUAUUCUUUAUUCUUUAUUCUUUAUUCUUUAUUCUUUAUUCUUUAUUCUUUAUUCUUUGCUAAGGGCACUCGCACCUUAGGCGCAUUAUACACAUUUGCCAUUCUUUAUAACAUUAACAAACGUUUCUCAAUUGUCAUUCUUUCUCAAUUGUCAUUCUUUCACAGGGUUACCUUUACCCUAGCCAACUAUGCCACUCGACUCGGUCUUGAGUCAAUUCAUAAUGAAUACAAGAUCCACUUUCCAAUUCAUGAUUCCUUUUUGUUCUUUGUUCUUUAAUCUCACGGCUAACCCGGGGGUUUCGCCACAUUAACUUGCUUCACAUUAAGUCCAUCAUCGCAGGAACUCACCAGCUAGGACCGUCCUUACGGGUCUACUCCAACCCGGAUGCCAAACUCCGGAGCGCAUCGCCCGAGGGGGAGCGACCGCCCUCGAGCACGGAACUCAUAGCAAGUAUGAUCAUAUCCUUAACUCAAAGGAUUUGUAGUUGAAUCAUGGCUUUACACUAACUUUAGUGUUCUUUACAUCACAUUAGUUGCUAACUCUAGCAAUCAUUGUUCUUUACACCCCACUUGUCAAUUACUCUAGUAAUUGUCAUUCUUGAUACCACACUUGUUCUUUUGUUGCCACACACUAACUCUAGUGUGCUUCAUGUCACAUUGGUUGCUAACUCUAGCCAUUAUCAUUGUUCUUUACACUUUGCUUGUUCUUUAUGCCACAUUACUUUACAUCGCCUUUAGCCAUUAUCAUUAUUCUUUACAUCACAUUGCUUUGCCUUGUCUCAAGCCAUUAUCAUUAGGUUCUCACAUUACAUCUCAUGCAUACACAUAGAUUAUUUAGAUUCUUAAUCAUUCUAAUAAGCACGUGUACUCACAUCAUGCAACAUUACAUUAUUAUCAUCACAUUGUUUUACAUUAUCUUUAGCCAUUAUCAUUAUUCUUUACAUCACAUUUAUUCUUUGUUGUCCCACACUAACUCUAGUGUCCACUUUACCAUUUCGAAUGCCACUCGAUCUAUGUUCAACAUGCAUAUAUUUUGUCAUCCAUUGGUAGUCAUUACUUAGCAUUUUAUGCAUUCGUUAACAUUUACUACAUGCAUUCUCGGUUAGUACAAAUCUCAUACUUUCAUUUGACAUCUAUUUAGCAUUUCUAUAAUAUGCACAUGUAAAUUAACAUCAACUCAUGCAUUCAUUUGGCAUCUAUCUUUAUCAUGCAUUCUUAAAUAGCAUACUUUAUCAUGCAUUCUCAAAUAGCAUACUUUAUCAUGCAUCAAUAGUAAACAUACUACACUUUGGCAUGGAAAGCGACCUAAUCGCUUCGGUGAGCACAACCCACCUCAAAACGCUUUCCGAUUGCUUGUCGACACUUGCAAUCGGCCUCCCGCGGCACCCGUAACCCGGUUUGGCCCGAACUCUUGCGCGACCACCCGAACGGCCACCAAUUCGCGAUCCGUCUGUUCGGGAGUUUAUUCCCCGACACCACGAUGCUCCCGAUCCAUUCUCAUGAUUUUUGGAGGCUUAUCCCGCGUGCUGCGGCUAUCUGUACCAAAACAGAUUGUUUCGUCAAUAACUUUGCGUACACUCGUCGGAUUGUCGAACCGAGCGCACCAACGCGUUCGUUAUACCCCCAAUUAGGUUUAUAGAGGGUCAAUUGAGAUCAAACUCAACUAUUUACAAAAACCCUCUUUAGGAGCCCUAAUAUGCAACUAUUGCAAAAUCCACCAUUUCAUCUCAUGAAUCAAGCAUAAACCAUCUAUUUAGCAUGCUAGGAUUCCAUUAAAAUCAUCUUUAGAGUAUAAGAACUUAACCCUAAAGAUCUACCAUUAGAGAGCAUAAGGCUUACCUCUCUAAGCUUGCUCCCAUGGCUCAAGGAAGGAGAUGAAGAUGAAGCUCCAUCUUCUUGGCCUCUUCUCCUUCAUCUUCUUCUUUUUCUUCUCUUUCUUUCUCUUCUUCUCCUUCUUUUCUUUCUAGAGAGAGAGAGGGAGAGGUUUUGGUGUGGGAGAGUGAGAGAAAUGAGAGAAAGAGAGAAAGGGUCCUCUCUAUACACUCUCAUAAGUGCCAUUUUGCACUUAAGCCCCUCCACAAUGCUUCCCUCGCAACAGCCCAAACUGGGCAUUUUCGGGCUUCGGGGACCGGUCCUUGCGAUGAGAGACCGGUCCCUGAGAGACCGGUCCUUGGCUGAGAGACCGGUCCCCGAAGGUCCAGAAAUCAGCCUUCAAGGACUUAGCCAAAUUUUCCGCUUUUUCAUCGUUUUAGCUCCGUUUUCGCUCGUUUUUGCUCGUUUGACCUCCGAUUCAUUUCAAAUCGAACCGAGACUCUCCAAACAUGUUUUCGAACAUAUUUUCAUCAUCUUUUCACCCACGCUAAUGCCGGAUUUAACUCACGGUUCAACAUAGCCUUUCGGCUCCGUUUUCGCGCCCUAUGCGCACCGAAGCACCCGAAUGCUCCCGAACUUCGCCGGGACGAUUCCAAUGGCUUUCUAAGCUAACUUACAUCGUAACUUCGUGAAUUUAGAAGUUCGGUAUAUUACAUUCUCCACCCCUUAAAAGAAUUUCGUCCGCGAAAUUCAAACACAACUCGAUUCAGCUCCUCGAGCAAUUGAGGGCACCAAUACACUUUCCACUUCGGAAUGGCUUUACACUCCUUGGAACUAUCCAAAAGGACUACCACGGAGUUCAUGAUACUAAAUGCAUCCAAAUUUGCAAGGCGCAUCUCACAAAGUGCAUUAGGGUAUCCAUCACUCUUGGUGGCGGCGCAAGUCGAAACUCAACGACUCCACGCGCUCCAAUACCACUUGUCACUUGGCAUACAAGAACUCUUCUUCGCAUUUACUUUCCCCUCAGGGAAUACACUCCGAUUCUAUCUCCAACAUUGCUUAAAAGCAACAUCACUAGUGCAUCGCUUCACCGCGAGUGCUUUAAUUCCGCACCGAUCUUUAGCUCUAACAUGAGCCACCUCGGCACAUCCCAAAUCCAAUCCUCAAACUCCACGUGGCUUCUCACAAGUUCAAGGUCUCACCACGAGCACUUCAUCUUCUGAUACCAUAUGCCACGGCCAACGUCUUAUUACUUUCGCAAAGAGCUCACAUGAACACGUUAUUUGUGAACUCAAAUCAAACUCCCCGAUAAGGCUAUUCGCCAAAUCACUUUCCUCGACUUUCCACAGGUGGGCCAAAGGCCACCCAUACUACGUAGGCCUACAGCCUAAACCCGUCUCAAUACUCGACGUCCCUCGCUCGCAAGCGUAGACCCAAUCAUCGUUGGGGCGAAAUUCUCACUGGGAAAUUCGCACACACUCCAACCAGGAGCAACUAAAAUCCCAAACCGUUACAGAUUCCCGGGUUGGGUCACACUCGCACUCUCAGUAUACUAUCAAUCGCACUAUACGCUCUAUAGCACAAUACGUACCACUAUCAGCUCCUUUGCACCUAGUGCGAGCCACCAGCCCCACGAGUGAUCCGUGGCACGCUUCACACCUAGCAAUGCUCAGGUGCUACUGCCAACACACUCAUCCGGCUGAACUAAAUCCGCACUCCACGAGUAACUAUACUCGAGCGCUAUAUGCGCCUCUAUAGCAUUCCAACUAUGUCAAGCAUCAGGCAACUUUGCCUAUGCACACCGGCCACACGAGCACGACUCACCCACCUCAAUUCGAGAUACUACUAGGCCAACGCGCCCGUAUUUGGCAGCCAAUCGCUCUACCGGAGCAACAUCUAGAACACUCAAACCAUUCGAGUGUCCACAAGUGUCAUGACACAACUCUUGCAAUCAAUUACAUACAUUGCUCUGCAAGUUGGUUCGUCAUUUCCACCUCUACUACAAGUCUCAUCAUUAGACCAUCACUAGCAACUCGCUAGUACCAUCCAGUUCUCUACCUGCACCGGCAGGUGCAACGCUCUCACCACAUAAGCGUGCCCGGGUACUUACAUUUAUCCGCGCACUUGGAUCCUACUAUGCUACUACAUAAAUAGUAGUAAUUAAUUACAUGCUCAAUGCAUGCAAUGCACCAACUUUACAUUAUGCAGAAACACAUGACUGCAUUAAUGGCUCAUACCUGCCAUGACGUUGUCAGCAGCAGGUUCCAUAUCCCGGACAUAGUUCACGAUAGGGAGAAUUCCCGUUCGUACUCUCUAACUGAGCGGUCUCCUUGCCGCAGCUUCCUGAACUUGUCCUGAAGCUUUCUCUUUUCACUGUCGGGGGAAGUCAGUAGAAGAUACCAAUCCCCGAAACUCAUCCCAUGCCAUGGAGGAAUACUAGGUGAUCGGUUCCGCCGAAUGCCUUUCCACCACGCCUUAGCCGACUGUUUCAAACAAUACACGACUAGGGGUACCCUGUCCAGCUCCAAGGUAGACAGCUCCUCGAAAAGCGUUUCCACAGAGUCAAUCCACGUAUCCACAAUCCACGAAUCGACAUUCUCUCCAUCGAAGAUAGGUGGAUCAAACUUUAUGAAGGUCAUGAGGGCUGCCAAAGCCCGCUCUUUCUCAUUCUUUUCCUUUCCUUCCUCUCUCUUUCUUUGUCCUCUAGAGAGAGAAAGAGAAGUGAGAGAGUGUGAGGGUGAGGAUGAGAAAAUAUCUCAUUCACCCAUCAUACUCAGCCUAUUCAUUGCAAAAUUGCAACUAAGUCUCUCAACUUUUAUUUCACAACACUGCCCAAACUGGGCAGACUUCGGGCUCUGAGACCGGUCUCCCCGACCAUGGGACCGGUUCCUGAGAGCUCUCCCCGCGGCAGCAGAGCUCGUGCGCAAUGCAACCGCUCUCCCCUGGUGAGACCGGUCUCUCGGGGACCGGUCUGUCCCCUUGGGACCGGUUCCCGAGAGCUGCGUUUCCAAGACUUAGCCAAAUCUUCAGUUCCCAGACUCCACACGCGCUCGGGGACCGGUCUCCCCGACUUGGGACCGGUCCCUGAGAGCUGAAAACCUGCAGCUUUGCAGAUUUUCAAUUCCAACGCUCUCGAAGACCUCUCCGAGGCACUUUUACUCAUUUUGACGUCCUCGGCCUCUCCGAAGCACACCCAUUUCAUACUUUGGUCACUUUGACUAAAGUUCGAUAUUUCGACCACCGAGUUUCGAUAUAUUACAUCUACAAUUUUUUUUUUGGAGUCUCUUAAUUCCCUCCCCUUGGUGCAUAGCAGCCUCUUGCGGCCGCUGCACCACAUCAGCUUGUUGCCUCACCACACCCACAAGCGUGGCCAACUGUUCGCGAAGUUCCAAGUCUCCGCGCGCCUCGGAUUGCUCAGGGACAUCACUUGUCCCACCCCGCGUCGAUCUAAACGAAGAUCGCCUACGCGGUGCCAUCGUUACCUAGAACAUGACAACUCAACUAACUCUCAACCUUCUAGGUCGAGUAUGAAACAAUUGACACCAACUCAAAUCGGGCGAAAGUCAUACAAGGGCAUCUAUUCUCAUCACUCGGUUUCAUGUUGUACGCGUCCAACAUGAACACCCUCGGUUGAGAAUAGACAACACCUUGGAUCUACCUCUAAUCUCCUUUUUAGAGGUUUACAACACAACCCAAUCCCUUAACCUUUCGCCAAAAGUCAUAAGUCCUCGUCUCUCACGAGCCUUAAUCUCCUAUGGUUUACUAUCCUAGGGUCUCCUAGGUUCAUCUAAACCACUUUUCCAUUCUCUACUUUAUGCUCUGAUACCAUCUUAUCUGUCACGCCCCGAGCCCGCCUCUUUGGUCGGAUUCGGGCACGCCAACAGACCGCCGAACGGACAGGGUUUCCCCUACACGCGGACAGAGUCUCCCCUGUACGUUCAAGGCGUCGCAAUCAAUACAAUUACAAGAGGUUCCAAACAGGAACAAUUUUCAACAACGAUUGCAUAAGGAAGGUAUCAAACAACAUAACACAUCCUAUAUUAUUACAAUCAUUCAUCUCAUCAUUUUACAUCGCAUUUUUCAUUACAUUGAUUCUCAACUUCCAAAUAUACAAUCGAUUUCUUUUCUUUUCUUUUCUUAUACCCCUAAGGAGCCGACUCAGGGUACUGCUAUCUGGUCUCUGUGGUAGGGCGCUAACUACGGAGCUACGCCCUUUCCUCGCGCCGCCGCGCCGCUCGCGUGUGAACCUGUACCCCCAAAAACAACAACACGGAG